Molecule: small nucleolar RNA, 145 nt
Filed under: Dasypus novemcinctus (nine-banded armadillo)
Lineage: Eukaryota; Metazoa; Chordata; Mammalia; Cingulata; Dasypodidae
Description: Small Cajal body specific RNA 3 (ENSDNOG00000044444.1)
Rfam family: Small Cajal body specific RNA 3
About the family: scaRNAs are a specific class of small nuclear RNAs which localise to the Cajal bodies and guide the modification of RNA polymerase II transcribed spliceosomal RNAs U1, U2, U4, U5 and U12.
Source: RNAcentral
AAUGGAAGCUGCAGGAAACAACCAUGUGGGCAAAUGAAAAAAAAAAAAUCUUUUGUCUACACAAUGCAGCGAUCCUACAGAAACAUGGAGGUCUCUGUCUGGCUUAGGACAGCUGACUAAGUCAGAUCGUUCCCCUCCAUACAAC